This 309-nucleotide ribosomal RNA is filed under the name uncultured bacterium. RNAcentral describes it as "partial 16S ribosomal RNA". It matches the Rfam family "Bacterial small subunit ribosomal RNA", at positions 1 to 334 of the family's 1533-position model. The record is from RNAcentral.
CUAGCAGUAUCAGAGUUUGAUCCUGGCUCAGAGCGAACGCUGGCGGCAGGCUUAACACAUGCAAGUCGAACGGGCACUUCGGUGCUAGUGGCAGACGGGUGAGUAACACGUGGGAACGUACCUUUCGGUUCGGAAUAAUUCAGGGAAACUUGGACUAAUACCGGAUACGCCCUUCGGGGGAAAGAUUUAUCGCCGAUAGAUCGGCCCGCGUCUGAUUAGCUAGUUGGUGAGGUAAUGGCUCACCAAGGCGACGAUCAGUAGCUGGUCUGAGAGGAUGAUCAGCCACAUUGGGACUGAGACACGGCCCAA